CGGGCUAGCUCAAUCGGUAGAGCGUGAGACUCUUAAUCUCAAGGUUGCGGGUUCGACCCCCGCGUUCGG
RNAcentral lists this transfer RNA (69 nucleotides) under Coemansia sp. RSA 2559. RNAcentral describes it as "tRNA-Lys". It matches the Rfam family "tRNA". From Rfam's summary of the family: Transfer RNA (tRNA) molecules are approximately 80 nucleotides in length. Their secondary structure includes four short double-helical elements and three loops (D, anti-codon, and T loops). The record is from RNAcentral. Lineage: Eukaryota; Fungi; Kickxellomycota; Kickxellomycetes; Kickxellales; Kickxellaceae.